Molecule: long non-coding RNA, 1905 nt
Organism: Carassius carassius (crucian carp)
Lineage: Eukaryota; Metazoa; Chordata; Actinopteri; Cypriniformes; Cyprinidae
Exons: 5
Source: RefSeq, a predicted model, not a curated record
GAAAUGACUCAUAGAGGAGUUGAACCCAACGCGUGGGUGUGGGCGCUAUUAAAACAAGGCUGAAAGUGUGGGGUGGAUCAUUCACAAGCGCCGAUUUUGCUAUGCUUGAAACCUAUUUGUGGCUUUUAAUCUUUUGAAAUCGCUGUGGGAUUUCAAUAUAUAUAUAAGGCUCAAUGGAUACCGGUGCUAUGUUGCGUUGCCUCCAUUGGAUUACUCUAUUGAUCGCCACGUUCAUUCAUGGAAUAAACGCGGAUAAAAGUUCAGCCCUUUGUUUGAAUUCCGAAUUCUGGAACAAAGACGUCGCACAAUGUGUACCUUGUUAUAUAUGCAAACAGUACCCGAAAACCCCAUCAUGUGACACAUGCCCACCCUCAGAGGCUUCGGAUUCCUGGAGGGUGGCAGCAAUUACCAGUUUAUCUGUCCUGGCAGCUGUAAUUGUUUGUGGAGCCUUGCUCAUAGGAGUUCUAGUACAUCAGUGCAGGUCCAGGAGGACCUUACGUGAACCAAUUGAAGAGACAACAGGACCCCUUUAUCCAGUAUAGGUUCUUCAUAAGCUCAUGGAACUCAAGCUGACAGCAUAUGAAAACGGACUGUUACUCCAGUGAAUUAAUGCUCCGGAUCGUGAAACACUGGCUGGUACCUCAACCACAGAGUGUUCUAUGAGUAGCAUCAGAUUUGUCUAAUUUAUUUCAUUAGUAGGCUAUGUCAUGUAUAGCAAAUGGUUAUGCACAUAAAGCUGCACUGAGACAUUCCUUGUCACCCACUGUGCAGAAUAGGUUUGCAAGCCUUAGGUGCUAAGUUGCAUCCUACAGACAGCAAGAUAGCAUAUUUUAUAUUCCUUUUUUUUUGGAACCCCUAAAAUGCUAGUUACACUGUUUUUGCACAAAUUUGUGGCCAUUCAUGUUACACUUAAAAGUGCACCGUAGAUGCAUUUCCACCUGAAUAUUCCUUGUUAAAUUUGCGAACAUGAUAAACACAAAUAACCGUAGCUAGUUUAACAUAGCAGACUUAGAGAUUAUCCUUUUUUACACGAAUAUGCCUUCUAAACAGACUUAGUAUGGCACAUAGCCAUGUGAAUGUAUUUGUUAUCUUUGUACAGUUUAAUUAUCUAUUUUUAUAGUGUUGGAAUACUACGCACUGUAUAGAUGUAGCCCUUUGUACAACAGUAUUCUGACACUGACUGGCUCAGCAUCCUGUCUAUGGCAUUGAUGGAGAUGUGGAGGCACUGAAGACCAGCCAAAACACAGCAGUCGAUGACCUGAAGAGUCGCCAGCUGACAUAAACAGAUUCUUUAAAAGAGCCGCAGGUGUCGGAUUCAAUCUUAGUUUUCCUACCUUUAUGCGCAUAAGAGAUUAGAUAGAUUAGUGUGAUAUUUACGUACAUGUAUCAUGAUACAUUUAAUCUCUCGUGUUUUAUCUUUUCAUCUUAGUAAAAUAUGUGUUUAACUGGCUAUGGGCAUUAGGAAAUGUACAUAUUUAUAUGCAGCAGAUGCUGAGGAGUAAUGAAAUUAACUUGUUUGAAAGACUUCAAGCAUGUUUAGCAAGAGUAAAGGGUUAAUCUCACAGAACCUGUGAGAAAAAAGGUCUGACAAAUUUCAACCCAGAAACUAUAUUUUGCUUAAAGAAAUUGUCUUUUUUUUUUUCUAGAAAACUAAGCACAUUUUAUGCAACAAUUCCCAAUAAUACUUUAUGUACCUCACCACUGCAGUGUUUGUCAGCAAUCUAGAAAGAUCAAGAAGCUAGUCCAGAAUCUUGAUAAACAUAAACCUGUGAAGCAUGCACAGCACAGCACUGUCACAGUCUUGAGUAAAGAUGGUGGUGUGCCUUUACUCAUUCACAAUUACUCAACAGACUGCAGAGGAAAUCAUGCAUUUUAAUGCAUUAAAGAGACAACCAAUGUACUGUA